This 72-nucleotide transfer RNA is filed under the name Heterocephalus glaber (naked mole-rat). It matches the Rfam family "tRNA". Rfam says of the family: Transfer RNA (tRNA) molecules are approximately 80 nucleotides in length. Their secondary structure includes four short double-helical elements and three loops (D, anti-codon, and T loops). Lineage: Eukaryota; Metazoa; Chordata; Mammalia; Rodentia; Bathyergidae. The record is from Rfam by way of RNAcentral.
UGGAGUGUAGCUCAGUGGUAGAGCACUUGCUUAGAAUGUGAGAGGCCCUGAGUUCAACCUCUAGUACUACAA